Sapajus apella (tufted capuchin) is the source of this 1588-nucleotide long non-coding RNA. RefSeq lists it as uncharacterized. The transcript is spliced from 2 exons. The record is from RefSeq and is a predicted model, not a curated record. NCBI's taxonomy places the organism in Eukaryota, Metazoa, Chordata, Mammalia, Primates, Cebidae.
UGAGCCGAGAUGGUGCCACUGCACUCCAGCCUGGGCAACACAGCAAGAUUCUCUCAUAAAAACAAACACAGAACACAGCAAGGACCCCCAUGUGCCCUCCACCCAAAUCCACCUCUGGCUAACAUUCUGCCCCACAUCGUUUCUGCCUCCCAAGUCUUUUUCUUUCUGAGACAGCAUCUCACUCUGGUUGCCGAGACUGGCGUGCAGCGGUGCAGUCUCAGCUCACUGCGGCCUUGUCCUCUCAAGCUCAGUGGAUUCUCCUCCCUCAGCCUCCUCAGCAGCUGGGAGCUGGGACUGUAGGUACACCUCACCACGCCCAAGUAGUUUUUUGAAUUUUUAGUAGAGACAGAGUUUCACCAUAUUGGCCAAGUUGGUCUUGAGGCCCUGACCUCAAUUAAUCUGCCCACUUCAGCCUCCCAAAGUGAUGCGAUUAGGUGUGAGCCAUUGUGACCGAUGUCACCCAUUCUGUCCCCACGCAUUGGCUCUCCCUAUAGACAGGCGUGUGCAUGUGUGUGAUUUGUGUCUGGACAGUGUGAGGUCAAUCACACACACAGGGCCUCGACCGUGAACGCAACCGUGGGCACUUGUACACGCUGCUUCUUCCCUCCCCGCAGUGGCCACAGCUCUGACUGCCCUGCUAGCUGCGAGACGGGGGGGAUUCCCUGAGGGUCCAGGCCACUUCCCGCACACAUUCUGCCAGCACAGCUCAUAAGCCUCCCUAAUUCUGGAACAUUUUCAGUGUUUUUUAAGACACAGACAUUUCUAAAGAAAAUGAAUAUAACUUUCUAAAUGCAAAGGGUGCUCAGUCUGAUGAAAUGGUGUGAAUUUCCAUUGUGGACCUUCCUAAGAGCUUGCAUCCUAUUCUUUUAAAUAUUUCCGAUGACAGCAAAUGCUUUCCUCACUUUCACAACCCAGUCUGGAGAACCCUGUCCCACAAAGAGCACCACCCCACCCUGCAGGGCCGGCUGCACUGCACCUUCCCCACUCCCAGCUCGGGUUCUAGCCCAGCGUGGGGGCUACAGAGGAAAGAGGCUGAGCACUCUGCCAACGCAGCCAUCAGCAGAUGCCAUUUCUGCCCCAGGGACAUGUGGCUGCUCCUGAGAACGCCCAGGGAGCUCCAUCGAGGUGGCAUUUGCCCGAGGCUGGGCCACUGUGGCUUUUAUACCUCUGUGUGAGGUUUGAGGUCUGAGCUGACUGGGGAAGAGACUUUCAUAGCUCCUCUGCGCUCAAGAGAAAUCUUGCCCUGCCCUCCUUCAGGUGGGAGGAUGCAGCAGUGAACAUGGCGUCCCGCUUCUGCAGGCCAGGCAGAGAGCAUUAUGACUGGGCCCUUUCCCGUGAGGAGAAGCACCAAGCACACAGAGAUCCAGAUGCAGACACAGAACACGUGAGUACCCAUGUCCCAUCACAGCCUGUCUCCUGUGACACCCAGCGGGACGCCCACACUGUCUGCACUCCCCAUCCACUCUACCUUGGACAGCUGUAAGGACAGACACCAACAGCAAAGGUCAAGAUGAGGUCUGGGGUCUUGGGUCUCUUUUUCUGUGGGACAUUUUUCUAAUUUGUAAGUAAAUUUUCCCAGUAUGCAAAA